AUGGUGUGUUUAGGUCUUGGCAAGCCAAGGGGGAGGCGUGGUGGGCGGCCCAAAGCCUCAGCUACCGUUACACACAACCAGAUCGGGAACUACCAGCUCACUGAAGAGCUUCCUGCAGCCAGUCUUGAUCCUCAAGUGGAAUUUGAAAAAAACAUGGAGAGUCUCUCUGCUAUGAUGUCUGACUCCCCUGAAAUCCAGAGGGCAUCGUCAUCAUGGACUUUCAGGCAGCAGCAAGCCUCACAAAGAUGGAAGGAGGCAAGGCCAUUCCAUCUUAAGUGCCUCAUCCAAACUCAGGAUGUUGGCCAACCAUUUUGUAGCCAUUGCAGCAAGCCUGCGGUGGUUAAAUGCAGAGAGUGUCUACCAGAUCAGUGGUUCUGUGAAACCUGCGAUACCAAGAAUCACAGGAGAUGGCCACUUCAUGAUAGGGAGUCAGUCCUUGAGGGCUUUUUUAAAGCUAUUCCCCCAUCCACAUAUUUUGUGAGAGGGGAGGGAGGAUACAGCUCACACGACCAAGCUUGUAUUUUGCCAACGGUGAGAGUGACUCAGAAAUGUCCCUGUGAAGUCCCCAGCAUAACUGUGUCACCUGGCAAAGCGGUCAUUUUAAUUUCCAUCAAUGGGCGUUAUGACAUGCACCAGCCAUUGUUUGCAUGUCAAACAUGCCAGCAGCAGUGGGCUCCAGAGUUCAUGGACCUUGUAAACAGUGGAUACUGGCCAGCUUCCACCAGCUCUUCUACUUUGUAUUCCAUCAAUCUUUUCAGCAGUGUAAGAGAAUUGAAAAUCAUUGUGCCGGCAUUGUCCAGACAAGCCUUUGCAAAGCUGCUGGAGCAUCGUACAAAGUGUGGUGGGCGGUCAGGACCAGUGUGCGGGGACACGCUCCAGCGCAGCUUCCUGGAGUUUUCCUAUUGUGCUUUUGAGGAAGAUAACUUGUCCUGCGGUGCACCUUUCACCUGCCCCGCUUGCACCCCAGACAUGCUGGCAAUCUCUGUGGAUGGCAACAGGAAGCUAUACCGGUUUUGCCGAAAUGGAAGCUCCGACUCUUCGUUUUUUGAAGGGGCAUUUAUCGCAGAAGACACAUCUGUGUCUGCAUUUGUUGAUCUCCUGCAUAAAGGUGUGAAACAGCUACCUGGACAAGGCAGAUGUGGGAGCUCCUCGUGGACAGCAGCGAAGGAGACUUCUAGGAGGACCUACAAGAGGACCUACGAAGAGGGCAUUGAGGUUGCAGUGUGUCGGCAUGGUUUCCUCCUUAAAGCGCUUAAUAUGUUUCGAGGUGAGAUUAUAAUAAAUUGUUUGCUGUUGAAUGUAACUUUCUAUUGUUGGUAUUUGUAUAUUGCUUUGGACAAAAGCUAA
Molecule: long non-coding RNA, 1347 nt
Filed under: Carassius auratus (goldfish)
Lineage: Eukaryota; Metazoa; Chordata; Actinopteri; Cypriniformes; Cyprinidae
Description: lncRNA (ENSCARG00000024583.1)
Source: RNAcentral